UGGGGAAUCUUGCGCAAUGCGCGACAGCGUGACGCAGCAACGCCGCGUGGGGGAAGAAGGCCUUCGGGUCGUAAACCCCUUUCAGGAGGGACGAAGCUCCGGGAGUUAACAGCUCUCCGGAGUGACGGUACCUCCACAAGAAGCCCCGGCUAACUACGUGCCAGCAGCCGCGGUAAUACGUAGGGGGCAAGCGUUGUCCGGAAUCAUUGGGCGUAAAGCGCGCGUAGGCGGCCAGGUAAGUCCGGUGUGAAAGUCAAAGGCUCAACCUUUGAAUGCCGCUGGAAACUGCCUGGCUAGAGUCCGGGAGGGGCGAGUGGAAUUCCUGGUGUAGCGGUGAAAUGCGCAGAUAUCAGGAGGAACACCAAUGGCGAAGGCAGCUCGCUGGAACGGUACUGACGCUGAGGCGCGAAAGCGUGGGGAGCAAACAG
RNAcentral lists this ribosomal RNA (428 nucleotides) under uncultured bacterium. Its description in RNAcentral is "bacterial SSU rRNA". It matches the Rfam family "Bacterial small subunit ribosomal RNA", at positions 355 to 775 of the family's 1533-position model. The record is from RNAcentral.